ACGGGUGAGUAAUACAUCGGAACGUGCCCUGUAGUGGGGGAUAACUAGUCGAAAGAUUAGCUAAUACCGCAUACGACCUGAGGGUGAAAGUGGGGGACCGCAAGGCCUCAUGCUAUAGGAGCGGCCGAUGUCUGAUUAGCUAGUUGGUGGGGUAAAGGCCCACCAAGGCGACGAUCAGUAGCUGGUCUGAGAGGACGGUCAGCCACACUGGGACUGAGACACGGCCCAGACUCCUACGGGAGGCAGCAGUGGGGAAUUUUGGACAAUGGGGGCAACCCUGAUCCAGCAAUGCCGCGUGUGUGAAGAAGGCCUUCGGGUUGUAAAGCACUUUUGUCCGGAAAGAAAUCGCACUUACUAAUAUUAGGUGUGGAUGACGGUACCGGAAGAAUAAGGACCGGCUAACUACGUGCCAGCAGCCGCGGUAAUACGUAGGGUCCAAGCGUUAAUCGGAAUUACUGGGCGUAAAGCGUGCGCAGGCGGUUGUGCAAGACCGAUGUGAAAUCCCCGGGCUUAACCUGGGAAUUGCAUUGGUGACUGCACGGCUAGAGUGUGUCAGAGGGGGGUAGAAUUCCACGU
This 576-nucleotide ribosomal RNA is filed under the name uncultured bacterium. Its description in RNAcentral is "bacterial SSU rRNA". It matches the Rfam family "Bacterial small subunit ribosomal RNA", at positions 102 to 674 of the family's 1533-position model. The record is from RNAcentral.